This 512-nucleotide ribosomal RNA is filed under the name uncultured bacterium. RNAcentral's name for it is "partial 16S ribosomal RNA". It matches the Rfam family "Bacterial small subunit ribosomal RNA", at positions 28 to 507 of the family's 1533-position model. The record is from RNAcentral.
GAUGAACGCUGGCGGCGUGCCUAAUACAUGCAAGUCGAACGAAACUUCUUUAUCACCGAGUGCUUGCACUCACCGAUAAAGAGUUGAGUGGCGAACGGGUGAGUAACACGUGGGCAACCUGCCCAAAAGAGGGGGAUAACACUUGGAAACAGGUGCUAAUACCGCAUAACCAUAGUUACCGCAUGGUAACUAUGUAAAAGGUGGCUAUACUACCGCUUUUGGAUGGGCCCGCGGCGCAUUAGCUAGUUGGUAGGGUAAAGGCUUACCAAGGCAAUGAUGCGUAGCCGAAGUGAGAGGGUGAGCGGCCACAUUGGGACUGAGACACGGCCCAAACUCCUACGGGAGGCAGCAGUAGGGAAUCUUCCACAAUGGGCGAAAGCCUGAUGGAGCAACGCCGCGUGGGUGAAGAAGGUCUUCGGAUCGUAAAACCCUGUUGUUAGAGAAGAAAGUGCGUGAGAGUAACUGUUCACGUUUCGACGGUAUCUAACCAGAAAGCCACGGCUAACUACGUG